Non-coding RNA from Sus scrofa (pig), 738 nucleotides. NCBI's taxonomy places the organism in Eukaryota, Metazoa, Chordata, Mammalia, Artiodactyla, Suidae. The record is from RefSeq and is a predicted model, not a curated record.
GCAGCCCCACUGCAGAGCGUGCGUCCUUUCCAGCUCUGCUUCAGAGAACAGCAGGGUGUAUUGGUGCCCCGGCUGUCUUGGACACCUAACUCGGACCUUGAUCCCUUCCCUCCCCAGCUGCCCCCUUGCUGGUCAGCAGCCCCCAUAGUCACUCUUGCAGCUGGGGGGAGAGAGAGGAGAAACUCUUGGAUAUGCUGCUUCCAGACCAAAAAUGUAAUUUUAGGGGAUAAACAGUUUGUCUGUUCCACUCUAGAGAGCCCCCCGGGAAGUGCGUGGUGAACGUGACAACCACUACACUACAGAAACUCCCAGGAGCUCCAGACAGGCUGUGUUGAGCUAGAGAAGCGAUCUAAAGUGGUUGCCCCUGCUGAAGCUGGCAAGAGAACUCCGUGAGGCCACGACCACCGUAUUCCAGCAUGUGGCACCACACCUCCAGACAGCAAGCGCUCAACCAGCAUUCAUUGAAAAGCGAGCUGACUGGGUGCUCAGGAGGCUGCUGCCUUCCCUCCCUUCAUAGAACAAGGAGCUGUGACAACAGUGAUGACACAUCAGAGAAGCCAAAGUUUCUGUGUGCCCGGAGCUAUGCUAGCCCUUAGUAGCAUAUCAGUCUUUACAGUGGCCUGCACGUUUGUGGGUGCCAUGAGGAGAGGGCCUUCGAUCAUCUCAUUCAGUGAAAUAUCCGAAGCAACUAGCAACAGUGGCUGGUAUGUAACAGGUGCUCAAUAUAGAUUUGGAGGA